RNAcentral lists this RNase P RNA (368 nucleotides) under Syntrophobacteraceae bacterium. RNAcentral describes it as "RNase P RNA component class A". It matches the Rfam family "Bacterial RNase P class A". From Rfam's summary of the family: Ribonuclease P (RNase P) is a ubiquitous endoribonuclease, found in archaea, bacteria and eukarya as well as chloroplasts and mitochondria. The record is from RNAcentral. Lineage: Bacteria; Pseudomonadati; Thermodesulfobacteriota; Syntrophobacteria; Syntrophobacterales; Syntrophobacteraceae.
GGAGCAGGGCAGAUGAUCGCCGGUUCCAUUCGGAAUCGGAGGAAAGUCCGGGCUCCACAGGGCAGGAUGCUGGGUAACACCCAGUCUCGGCGACGAGCAGGAAAGCGCCACAGAAAGCAGACCGCCCCGCCUUCGGCGGGGUAAGGGUGAAACGGUGAGGUAAGAGCUCACCAGUCCUGGUGGUGACAUCGGGAGCUAGGCAAGCCCCAUCCGGAGCAAGACCGAAUAGGAGAGCGUUCGAGGGCGGCCCGUUCGAGCUCUCGGGUUGGUUGCUUGACCCUGUCGGCAACGGCAGGGCUAGAGGAAUGAUCAUCGCCUUUCCGCUCUCGCGGAAAGGUACAGAACCCGGCUUACGAACUGCUCCGGAU